RNAcentral lists this ribosomal RNA (997 nucleotides) under uncultured bacterium. RNAcentral describes it as "bacterial SSU rRNA". It matches the Rfam family "Bacterial small subunit ribosomal RNA", at positions 355 to 1375 of the family's 1533-position model. The record is from RNAcentral.
UGGGGAAUAUUGCACAAUGGGGGAAACCCUGAUGCAGCGACGCCGCGUGGAGGAAGAAGGUCUUCGGAUUGUAAACUCCUGUUGUUGAGGAAGAUAAUGACGGUACUCAACAAGGAAGUGACGGCUAACUACGUGCCAGCAGCCGCGGUAAAACGUAGGUCACAAGCGUUGUCCGGAAUUACUGGGUGUAAAGGGAGCGCAGGCGGGAAGACAAGUUGGAAGUGAAAUCUAUGGGCUCAACCCAUAAACUGCUUUCAAAACUGUUUUUCUUGAGUAGUGCAGAGGUAGAUGGAAUUCCCGGUGUAGCGGUGGAAUGCGUAGAUAUCGGGAGGAACACCAGUGGCGAAGGCGGUCUACUGGGCACCAACUGACGCUGAGGCUCGAAAGCAUGGGUAGCAAACAGGAUUAGAUACCCUGGUAGUCCAUGCCGUAAACGAUGAUUACUAGGUGUUGGGGGAUUGACCCCCUCAGUGCCGCAGUUAACACAAUAAGUAAUCCACCUGGGGAGUACGACCGCAAGGUUGAAACUCAAAGGAAUUGACGGGGGCCCGCACAAGCAGUGGAGUAUGUGGUUUAAUUCGAAGCAACGCGAAGAACCUUACCAGGUCUUGACAUCCGAUGCAUAGCACAGAGAUGUGUGAAAUCCUUCGGGACAUCGAGACAGGUGGUGCAUGGUUGUCGUCAGCUCGUGUCGUGAGAUGUUGGGUUAAGUCCCGCAACGAGCGCAACCCUUAUUGCCAGUUACUACGUUAAGAGGACUCUGGCGAGACUGCCGUUGACAAAACGGAGGAAGGUGGGGAUGACGUCAAAUCAUCAUGCCCUUUAUGACCUGGGCUACACACGUACUACAAUGGCGUUAAACAAAGAGAAGCAAGACCGCGAGGUGGAGCAAAACUCAAAAACAACGUCUCAGUUCAGAUUGCAGGCUGCAACUCGCCUGCAUGAAGUCGGAAUUGCUAGUAAUCGCGGAUCAGCAUGCCGCGGUGAAUACGUUCCC